CCUACGGGUGGCUGCAGUGGGGAAUAUUGGACAAUGGGGGGAACCCUGAUCCAGCGACGCCGCGUGAGUGAAGAAGUAUUUCUGUAUGUAAAGCUCUAUCAGCAGGGAAGAAAGACAUGACGGUCCCUGACUACUAAGCCCCGGCUAACUACGUGCCAGCAGCCGCGGUAAUACGUAGGGGGCAAGCGUUAUCCGGAUUUAUUGGGUGUAAAGGGAGCGUAGACGGUUACGCAAGUCUGGAGUGAAAGGCGGGGGCCCAACCCCCGGACUGCCUUGGAUACUGUAUAACUGGAGUGCAGGAGAGGUAAGUGGAAUGCCUAGUGUAGCGGUGAAAUGCGUAGAUAUUAGGAGGAACACCAGUGGCGAAGGCGGCUUACUGGACUGUAACUGACGUUGAGGCUCGAAAGCGUGGGGAGCAAACAGGAUUAGAUACCCUUGUAGUC
RNAcentral lists this ribosomal RNA (443 nucleotides) under uncultured bacterium. RNAcentral describes it as "partial 16S ribosomal RNA". It matches the Rfam family "Bacterial small subunit ribosomal RNA", at positions 338 to 795 of the family's 1533-position model. The record is from RNAcentral.